Molecule: ribosomal RNA, 460 nt
Filed under: uncultured bacterium
Lineage: Bacteria
Description: partial 16S ribosomal RNA
Rfam family: Bacterial small subunit ribosomal RNA
Source: RNAcentral
CCUACGGGUGGCAGCAGUGGGGAAUAUUGGUCAAUGGGCGGAAGCCUGAACCAGCCAAGUCGCGUGAGGGAAUAAGGCCCUACGGGUCGUAAACCUCUUUUGCCGGGGAGCAAGGGCGGGGACGUGUCCCGUCCCGCAGAGUACCCGCAGAGAAAGCAUCGGCUAACUCCGUGCCAGCAGCCGCGGUAAUACGGAGGAUGCGGGCGUUAUCCGGAUUUAUUGGGGUUAAAGGGUGCGUAGGCGGGCUUUUGAGUCAGCGGUAAAAAUUCGUUGCUAAACCCAGUCCGGCCGUUGAAACUGGGGGCCUUGAGUGGGCGAGAGGAAGGCGGAAUGCGUGGUGUAGCGGUGAAAUGCAUAGAUAUCACGAAGAACCCCGAUUGCGAAGGCAGCCUGCCGGAGCCCGACUGACGCUGAGGCACGAAAGUGCGGGGAUCGAACAGGAUUAGAUACCCGUGUAGUC